RNAcentral lists this unclassified non-coding RNA (1684 nucleotides) under Hevea brasiliensis (rubber tree). The record is from RNAcentral. Lineage: Eukaryota; Viridiplantae; Streptophyta; Magnoliopsida; Malpighiales; Euphorbiaceae.
GGACUUUGAGAUAAUUGAUAAUUGAUUAAGUUUAAAAAUAAAAUCAGUACGAAAAUUGGGAAUUGACUUCGUUUUUAAUUAGUUACAUUUCUUAUUAUAUAUCGAUAAGCGUAGAGAUGCAGAGCUAAGCCACAUGCUUGGCCUCACCAAAAUACAUUGUUCAUCAAAUUGAACAGACUCCACAAGUAACAUAAACAUAAAUAUAACCGAACAACGUAGCUGCAGCCAUAUAUAAUAAUUAAUUAUUUCAAGCAAGGAUAUCCUCUAUGUGUUUGCCUUCCAAUUUGGAUUUCUCAAUGUCCUUUAAUGCCUUCUCCUUAGCCAAUUUCUUAAGCCUGGCUAGCUCAAGGUCCUUGCUCAUCUUCCUCCUAUACAUCUCUGCAAAUGUAAUUGGCGCUUCCAGCACUGGCUUCACUCCCUCUUCGAUCUUCAGAGGAUAAACUGUUGCCUCUGUUGCUGGGUUCUGGAAUGUGGCUAUGGAUAACCUGCUGCAAUUUGAGUUCACCACUGCUUGGUGAUCUGCAUUUUUGAAUCUCCCAUUGCUUAGGUACUGCAUCACAUUAAUAGCAAAACCAGCAACUCCAUUGGGUCAAACAGGCAAUUGCUCAAGUGUAUUGGAACACAUUGUUACACGUAGCAAUACCAUAAACACUAAUUUUUUAUUUUUUCACUUCAUAAUUUAAUUAGGGAGAGAGAGAAAAGUAAAAUGGGAAAUAAUUGUUGUACUUACGUGACCAUGAUCUCCAAGAUUGACGACAAAGGCACCUUCAACAGGCUGAACAGUGAUCCAAGUCUUUCCAUCAUCCCUGGUAGCCUGGAGACCCCCCACCUGGUCCUGGAGCAAGAGGGUGAUGGUUCCUGGAUCAGUGUGGCGUUUGAGUCCAAGAGUGAGGUCAGGUUGGGGACAUUUUGGAUAGAAAUUGACCACAACUUUCUGAUCCAUGUCCACACAUGCCUUAGUCAAGGCCUCUUUCUCUAACCCCAUGGCUUCUGAUAAAACUUCCAGGAGCUUGCAAGCAAGUCCCAUUAACUUCUCACUGUACUCCUCAGUCACUCCUCUCCAUCCCUCGGGCUUGUCGGGCCACCUUGAAUAGUCUCUGGUGCGAAGUGGGUAUGAGAAAUAUGUCACUAUUUCACGCCAAUCUUGCACUGCCUCUCCCUGUAAAUGGCUAGAGACGAUGAAGCCACCCUUCUUCCCGCCGGACAUGUCAAAACGAAGCUUCUCCUCCGACGGCAAGGCAAAAAACUCCUUAGCAAGACGAGUCAUUUCAGAUAUAAGCUUAGCAUCAACACCAUGAUCAACGACCUGAAAAAUCCCCCAGUCUUCACAUGCUUCAACUAUUUUCUUGCAUAUCUCAGCUCUCUUCCCACCAACAUCAUCUAUCCCAGAUAAUGAAAUCACUGGAAUUUGGUCGCUGAAUUGAUUGUAAGCAACUUUUGGACGCUCAUCUUCGUCUCGGACGAAGCUUUCCUGCAGGGUUUUCUCCUCAGCGAGGGCUGUAAGAGUCGUAGGAGCCAUUGAAAAUGGUUAGAAGAGAAUGAUUUUGUUGGUUGGCGUUUAAGAGAAGAAGGGGAGAGGUAAUUCUUUAAUUUGUGAAUUGUGAUUAUAGGUAGAAGAGAGGGUGUGUAUAUAUAUCAUGAGGCUUGGAGACAGCAGGUUAGCGGGGGAGGGUGGAGGAAAAUG